AGGGAAACCGAGUCUUAACCGGGCGUUAAGUUGCAGGGUAUAGACCCGAAACCCGGUGAUCUAGCCAUGGGCAGGUUGAAGGUUGGGUAACACUAACUGGAGGACCGAACCGACUAAUGUUGAAAAAUUAGCGGAUGACCUGUGGCUGGGGGUGAAAGGCCAAUCAAACCGGGAGAUAGCUGGUUCUCCCCGAAAGCUAUUUAGGUAGCGCCUCGUGAACUCAUCUCCGGGGGUAGAGCACUGUUUCGGCUAGGGGGCCAUCCCGGCUUACCAACCCGAUGCAAACUGCGAAUACCGGAGAAUGUUAUCACGGGAGACACACGGCGGGUGCUAACGUCCGUCGUGAAGAGGGAAACAACCCAGACCGCCAGCUAAGGUCCCAAAGUCAUGGUUAAGUGGGAAACGAUGUGGGAAGGCCCAGACAGCCAGGAUGUUGGCUUAGAAGCAGCCAUCAUUUAAAGAAAGCGUAAUAGCUCACUGGUCGAGUCGGCCUGCGCGGAAGAUGUAACGGGGCUAAACCAUGCACCGAAGCUGCGGCAGCGACACUCAGGUGUUGUUGGGUAGGGGAGCGUUCUGUAAGCCUGUGAAGGUGUGUCGUGAGGCAUGCUGGAGGUAUCAGAAGUGCGAAUGCUGACAUAAGUAACGAUAAAGCGGGUGAAAAGCCCGCUCGCCGGAAGACCAAGGGUUCCUGUCCAACGUUAAUCGGGGCAGGGUGAGUCGACCCCUAAGGCGAGGCCGAAAGGCGUAGUCGAUGGGAAACGGGUUAAUAUUCCCGUACUUGGUGUUACUGCGAAGGGGGGACGGAGAAGGCUAUGUUGGCCGGGCGACGGUUGUCCCGGUUUAAGCGUGUAGGUGUGUGUUCCAGGUAAAUCCGGUCCACUUUAACACUGAGGCGUGAUGACGAGGCACUACGGUGCUGAAGCAACAAAUGCCCUGCUUCCAGGAAAAGCCUCUAAGCAUCAGGUAACAUCAAAUCGUACCCCAAACCGACACAGGUGGUCAGGUAGAGAAUACCAAGGCGCUUGAGAGAACUCGGGUGAAGGAACUAGGCAAAAUGGUGCCGUAACUUCGGGAGAAGGCACGCUGACACGUAGGUGAAGUGAUUUACUCA
This 1111-nucleotide ribosomal RNA is filed under the name Salmonella enterica. RNAcentral describes it as "partial 23S ribosomal RNA". It matches the Rfam family "Bacterial large subunit ribosomal RNA", at positions 670 to 1773 of the family's 2925-position model. The record is from RNAcentral. Lineage: Bacteria; Pseudomonadati; Pseudomonadota; Gammaproteobacteria; Enterobacterales; Enterobacteriaceae.